GGGCUACACACGUGCUACAAUGGACGGUACAAAGAGCUGCAAGACCGCGAGGUGGAGCUAAUCUCAUAGAACCGUUCUCAGUUCGGAUUGUAGGCUGCAACUCGCCUACAUGAAGCUGGUAUCGCUAGUAAUCGCGGAUCAGCAUGCCGCGGUGGAGUACGUUCUCGGGUCUUGCACACGCCGCCCGUC
RNAcentral lists this ribosomal RNA (189 nucleotides) under Bacillus cereus. RNAcentral describes it as "partial 16S ribosomal RNA". It matches the Rfam family "Bacterial small subunit ribosomal RNA", at positions 1211 to 1398 of the family's 1533-position model. Lineage: Bacteria; Bacillati; Bacillota; Bacilli; Caryophanales; Bacillaceae. The record is from RNAcentral.